This 463-nucleotide ribosomal RNA is filed under the name uncultured bacterium. Its description in RNAcentral is "partial 16S ribosomal RNA". It matches the Rfam family "Bacterial small subunit ribosomal RNA", at positions 28 to 507 of the family's 1533-position model. The record is from RNAcentral.
GAUGAACGCUGACAGAAUGCUUAACACAUGCAAGUCUUUGGCGAAGCUGUGCUUGCACAGCCUAGCCAAGGCGGACGGGUGAGUAACGCGUAAGGAACUUGCCCUGCAGUCAGGGAUAACAGACGGAAACGACUGAUAAGACCUGGUAAAGUCAGGCGGACUCAUGUCCAGCCUGAUGAAAAGUGAUGCUGCAGGAGAGCCUUGCGUCCUAUUAGCUUGUUGGUGGGGUAACGGCCCACCAAGGCGAUGAUAGGUAGCCGGCCUGAGAGGGUGGACGGCCACAAGGGGACUGAGAUACGGCCCUUACGCCUACGGGAGGCAGCAGUGGGGAAUAUUGGACAAUGGGGGCAACCCUGAUCCAGCAAUUCUGUGUGCACGAUGAAGGUUUUCGGAUUGUAAAGUGCUUUCAGCAGGGAAGAAAAAAAUGACGGUACCUGCAGAAGAAGCGACGGCUAAAUACGUG